GGCGGCGUGCCUAACACAUGCAAGUCAACUUGACUGAAGGAGCAAUCUGACAGUAGAGUGGCGCAAGGGUGCGUAACGCGUAAGUAACUUGCCCCAAGGUAAGGAAUAACGUCGAGAAAUCGGCGCUAAUACCUCAUAAUGCAGCGGAUCCGCAUGGAUAUGUUGUUAAAGGUUUACCGCCCUGGGAUAGGCUUGCGUCUGAUUAGUUAGUUGGUGUGGUAACGGCACACCAAGGCUACGAUCAGUAACUGGUCUGAGAGGAUGAUCAGUCACACUGGAACUGAGACACGGUCCAGACUCCUACGGGAGGCAGCAGUGAGGAAUAUUGGGCAAUGCUCGAAAGAGUGACCCAGCAACGCCGCGUGGAGGAUGAAGGUAUUCUAUAUCGUAAACUCCUGUGAGAGCAGACGAAAGACAGAUUAUUAAUCUGGAUGACUGUAUGCUCAGAGGAAGCCCCGGCUAACUACGUG
This 470-nucleotide ribosomal RNA is filed under the name uncultured bacterium. RNAcentral's name for it is "bacterial SSU rRNA". It matches the Rfam family "Bacterial small subunit ribosomal RNA", at positions 38 to 507 of the family's 1533-position model. The record is from RNAcentral.